RNAcentral lists this transfer RNA (76 nucleotides) under Heliorestis acidaminivorans. RNAcentral describes it as "tRNA-Val". It matches the Rfam family "tRNA". From Rfam's summary of the family: Transfer RNA (tRNA) molecules are approximately 80 nucleotides in length. Lineage: Bacteria; Bacillati; Bacillota; Clostridia; Eubacteriales; Heliobacteriaceae. The record is from RNAcentral.
GGGCGAUUAGCUCAGCUGGUUAGAGUACUUGCUUGACAUGCAAGGGUCGGCGGUUCAACUCCGUUAUCACCCACCA